Molecule: long non-coding RNA, 4195 nt
Organism: Oncorhynchus tshawytscha (Chinook salmon)
Lineage: Eukaryota; Metazoa; Chordata; Actinopteri; Salmoniformes; Salmonidae
Source: Ensembl
GGGGCAAUGCAAAUGGUCUGGGUAGCCGUUUGAUUUGCUGUUCAGGAGUCUUAUGGCUUGGGGGUAGAAGCUGUUUAGAAGCAUCUUGGACCUAGACUUGGCGCUCAGGUACCGCUUGCUGUGCGGUAGCAGAGAGAACAGUCUAUGACUAGGGUGGCUGGAGUCUUUGACAAUUUUAGGGCCUUCCUCUGACAUCGCCUGGUAUAGAGGUCCUAGAUGGCAGGAAGCUUGGCCCCGGUGAUGUACUGGGCCGUACGCACUACCCUCUGUAGUGCCUUGCGACCGGAGGCUGAGUAGUUGCCAUACCAGGCACUGAUGCAACCCGUCCAGAGGCUUUCGAUGGUGCAGCUGUAAAACAUUUUUGGGGAUCUGAGGACCCAUGCCAAAUCUUUUCACUCUCUUGAGGGGGAAUAGGUUUUGUCGUGCCCUCUUCACAACUGUCUUGGUGAGCUUGGACCAUGUUUGUUUGUUGGUGAUGUGAACACCAAGGAAGUUGAAGCUCUCAACCUGCUCCACUGCAGCCCCAUCGAUGAGAAUGGGGGCGUGCUCGGUCCUCCUUUUCCUGUAGUCCACAAUCAUCUCCUUUGUCUUGAUCACGUUUAGGGAGAGGUUGUUGUCCUUGAACCACAAGUUCAGGUCCUCCCUAUAGGCUGUCUCAUCGUUGUCGGUGAUCAGGCCUACUACUGUUGUGUCAUCAGCAAACUUAAUGAUGGUGUUGGAGUCGUGCCGCCGUGCAGUCAUGAGUGAACAGGGAGUACAGGAGGGGACUGAGAACGAAACCCUGAGGGGUUCCUAUGUUGAGGAUCAGCGUGGCAGAUGUGUUGCUACCUACCCUUACCACCUGGGGGUUGCCUGUCAGGAAGUCCAGGAUCCAGUUUCAGAGGGAGGUGUUUAGUCCCAGGGUCCUUAGCUUAGUGAUGAGCUUUGAGAGCACUAUGGUGUUGAACGCUGAGCUGUAGUUAAUGAACAGCAUUCUCACAUAGGUGUUCCUUUUGUCCAGGUGGGAAAGGGCAGUGUGGGAGUGCAAUAUAAAUUCCAUUAUCUGUGGAUCUGUUGGUGCGGAGUGCAAAUUGGAGGGGGUCAAGGGAUUCUGGGACAAUGGUGUUGAUGUGAGCAAUGACCAGCCGUUCAAAGCACUUCAUGGCUACAGACGUGAGUGCAGAUUAUCUUAGUGUUCUUGGGCACAGGGACUAUGAUGGUCUGCUUGAAUCAUGUUGGUAUUACAGACUCAGACAGGGAGAGGUUGAAAAUGUUAAUGAAGACACUUGCAGUUGGUCAGUGCAUGCUCAGAGUACACUUCCCGGUAAUCCGUCUGGCCCAACGGCCUUGUGAAUGUUGACCUGUUUAAAGGUCUUACUCACAUCGGAGAGCGUGAUCACACAGUCGUUUUACUUGCCUCGAAACGAGCAUAGAAGUUAUUUAGCUCGUCUGGUAAGCUCGUGUCACUGGGCAGCUCUCGGCUGUGCUUCCCUUUGUAGUCUGUAAUAGUUUGCAAGCCCUGCCACAUCUGACGAGCGUCGGAGCCGGUGUUGUACGAUUCGAACUUAGUCCUGUAUUGACGUUUUGCGUGUUUGAUGGUUCGUUGGAUGGCAUAGUGGAAUUUCUUAUAAACUUCCAGGUUAGAGUCCUGCUCCUUUAAAGCAGCAGCUCUAUACUUUAGCUCAGUGCGAAUGUUGCCUGUAAUCCAUGGCUUCUGGUUGAGGUAUGUACGUACAGUCACUGUGGGGAAGACGUCCUCGAUGCACUUAUUGAUGUGUGGUGGAUCUGAUGUGGUGUACUCCUCAAUGCCAUCGGAAGAAUCCCAGAACAUAUUCCAGUCUGUACUAGCAAAACAAUCCUGUAGUUUAGCAUCUGCUUCAUCUGACCACUUUUUUAUAGACCGAGUCACUGGUGCUUCCUGCUUAAAUGUUUUGCUUGUAAGCAGGAAUCAGGAGGAUAGAGUUAUGGUCAUAUAUACCAAAUGGAGGGUGAGGGAGAGCUUUGUACGCGUCUCUGUGUGUGGAAUUAAGGUGGUCUAGAAAAAAAAAUUCCCCUCUGGUUGCACAUUUAACAUGCUGAUAGAAAUGAGGUAAAACUGAUUUAAGUUUCCCUGCAUUAAAGUCCCCGGCCACUAGGAGCUUCGCCUCUGGAUGAGCGUUUUCCUGUUUGCUUAUAGCGGAAUACAGCUCGUUGAGUGAGUGCUCUUUUAGUGCCAGCCUCGGUCUGUGGUGGUAGGUAGACAGCUAUGAAAAAUACAGAUGAAAACUCUCUAGGUAGAUAGUGUGGUCUACAACUUAUCAUGAGAUACUCUACCUCAGGCGAGAAAAACCCUGAGACUUCCUUAGAUAUCGUGCACCAGCUAUUAUGAAAUAUGAAUUUCAUAUAUGAAUAGGCCCCUGACCCGUGUCUUACCAGAGACUGCUGUUUUGUCCUCCAAUAGUAAUUUACAACAUUAACAAUGUCUACACUGUAUUUCUGAUCAAUUCGAUGUUAUUUAAUGGACAAAAAAUGUGCUUUUCUUUCAAAAACAAAGACAUUUCUAAGCAACUUUUGAACUGAAGUGUACUUUUCCUUUUUCCACGAAUCACGAGGAUCUAGGCCUGGUCGGGUGUAUGUAGUAUAUCCCUCGUGUCCAACUAAUUGAAGAAGAACUCCUCGUCUAAUUUGAGCUUCGAUGCCUCUUCUUGACCACACUGCACCCCAGCUGGGACGUUUGGGGUGAAACGUACCUCCUCAACGGGGGGAUAAGGAAGUGUCCAACACUCCUGCUGCCCUGGCCCAAACAGACACUAGGACAACUGGACACCCCUCUCCAAGAUCCUGAUGUUCUGUCCCAUCCGUCCUCACAUACUACUAUGUUUUCAUUUCUACAUAUCUAGAGUUCGGGACAAUUUGGGGGGAAACUUGGGAAUGCUAUUAGGACAGAUGGAUGGCAUUCCCAAAGACUGCCACAGCUAAAUAGAUGAGAGCUAGACUGGAUACCGAAUAUGAGCUCCCUGCCAACCACCAUGACUUGACCUACCCCCCAGAGAGGGAAAGAUGCAGGGGAAGAAGUGAAAAGAAGGAGAGAAGAAGAGGAACUCUCCUCUCUGUUUACAGAUUCAUCUCAUCAGUCUGGGGUCCACUAUCUCUCUCUCUCUCUCUUUAUCUAUUUUUAUCUCUCGCUUUCUCUCGCUCUCUCCUCUUCCUCCCUCUGCCUCUACCCUUUCUCUCUUAAUCUCUCUCAAUCUCUCUCUCUUAUUAUCUCUCUCUUAUUAUCUCUUUCUCUCUCUCUCUCCUAUUCAUCUUUCUCCCUCUGCCUCUGCCUCUCCUCUCUAUAUCUCUCUCUCUCUCUCUCUCUCUCUCUCCUGUUCCUCUUUCUCCCUCAGCCUCUCCCCUCUCUCUUAAUCUCUAUAUCUUCCCCUUCACUUCCACUUUCUUCUUCUCUUUCCUCUCUCCCCUGCUAUCUCGCUCUCUCCCACCACCCCCUUUCUCCUUCCUUCCAUCCCUCCCUCUCCCCCCCUCCUUCCCACCGUACCUCCAGCAGCCUCCACAGAUAUUCAUCAUCUUCUUCUGUGUACUGAGACAGUAGUAAUCUAAUGUUCCUCCCCUCGUCUGCAGCCACAAAUCUAGAUGAUAAGAUUAUCCUAUCCUCUCCCAGUCAUCAUCUCAAACUUUUGUUGACCAAUUUCAUUAAACAGAGUGAAAAAGCUGAAGUUUGUGUUAAAGGGAAAGUUCAGCGAAAUUGCACAUUUAGAUAUUUGUUUCCUCACCUUGAAAACAGUUUCUCAAAUAUCUAAUUUUGCUGAACUAUCCCUUUUUUAGAAGUUCCUAGGCAAUUACCCUCCACCACCAACAUGCUGUGUCUUAUUACAAAACUACAAAAUGGCCGCCAAUGUUAGCUUGUUGGGUAACGUUGUAGUUCUAACCAGAUACAGUGUUACGGUGUUAGCCUAGUUUUCUUUUUUGUAAAAUCUUGCUCCCUUCCGAGCACCUAUAUUUCCAGCUAGGGAGGUGAGUAUACAUUCUCCAUGUUGUUUUAUACAAGAAAGGUAAAGUCAAAGUACAUAGUAGUUUAUUGGGAUUAGUUUUCUAUAUAUAUAUAUUAUAUAUAAUGAUUAUUAUUUUUGACUGGUAUUAGAACAAUUAUAUGAAGAUAUCUAUGUAUACAAAAUAAUAAAGAUUCUUCUUUAUGUAAACUUUGUUUUUUGGAAAACUUAUUUUUGCAUGAUACUAC